GGUACCCUACGGGAGGCAGCAGUCGGGAAUAUUGCACAAUGGAGGAAACUCUGAUGCAGUGACACCGCGUAUAGGAAGAAGGUUUUCGGAUUGUAAACUAUUUGAGACAGGGAAGAAAAAAGACAGUACCUGUAGAAUAAGCUCCGGCUAACUACGUGCCAGCAGCCGCGGUAAUACGGAGGGUGCGAGCGUUAAUCGGAAUUACUGGGCGUAAAGCGCACGUAGGCUGUUGUGUAAGUCAGGGGUGAAAUCCCACGGCUCAACCGUGGAACUGCCCUUGAUACUGCAUGACUGGAAUCCGGGAG
RNAcentral lists this ribosomal RNA (305 nucleotides) under uncultured bacterium. RNAcentral's name for it is "bacterial SSU rRNA". It matches the Rfam family "Bacterial small subunit ribosomal RNA", at positions 332 to 654 of the family's 1533-position model. The record is from RNAcentral.